GACGAACGCUGGCGGCGUGCUUAACACAUGCAAGUCGAACGGAAAGGCCCUGCUUGCAGGGUACUCGAGUGGCGAACGGGUGAGUAACACGUGGGUGAUCUGCCCUGCACUUCGGGAUAAGCCUGGGAAACUGGGUCUAAUACCGGAUAGGAGCCAUUUUUAGUGUGAUGGUUGGAAAGUUUUUUCGGUGUAGGAUGAGCUCGCGGCCUAUCAGCUUGUUGGUGGGGUAAUGGCCUACCAAGGCGGCGACGGGUAGCCGGCCUGAGAGGGUGGACGGCCACAUUGGGACUGAGAUACGGCCCAGACUCCUACGGGAGGCAGCAGUGGGGAAUAUUGCACAAUGGGCGCAAGCCUGAUGCAGCGACGCCGCGUGGGGGAUGACGGCCUUCGGGUUGUAAACUCCUUUCGCUAGGGACGAAGCUCUUGUGACGGUACCUAGAUAAGAAGCACCGGCUAACUACGUG
Molecule: ribosomal RNA, 464 nt
Filed under: uncultured bacterium
Lineage: Bacteria
Description: partial 16S ribosomal RNA
Rfam family: Bacterial small subunit ribosomal RNA
Source: RNAcentral